RNAcentral lists this ribosomal RNA (490 nucleotides) under uncultured bacterium. Its description in RNAcentral is "partial 16S ribosomal RNA". It matches the Rfam family "Bacterial small subunit ribosomal RNA", at positions 30 to 507 of the family's 1533-position model. The record is from RNAcentral.
AUUGAACGCUGGCGGCAGGCCUAACACAUGCAAGUCGAACGGUAACAGGAAGCAGCUUGCUGCUUCGCUGACGAGUGGCGGUCGGGUGAGUAAUGUCUGGGAAGCUGCCUGAUGGAGGGGGAUAACUACUGGAAACGGUAGCUAAUACCGCAUAAUGUCGCAAGACCAAAGAGGGGGACCUUCGGGCCUCUUGCCAUCGGAUGUGCCCAGAUGGGAUUAGCUUGUUGGUGGGGUAACGGCUCACCAAGGCGACGAUCCCUAGCUGGUCUGAGAGGAUGACCAGCCACACUGGAACUGAGACACGGUCCAGACUCCUACGGGAGGCAGCAGUGGGGAAUAUUGCACAAUGGGCGCAAGCCUGAUGCAGCCAUGCCGCGUGUAUGAAGAAGGCCUUCGGGUUGUAAAGUACUUUCAGCGGGGAGGAAGGGAGUAAAGUUAAUACCUUUGCUCAUUGACGUUACCCGCAGAAGAAGCACCGGCUAACUCCGUG